UACGAAGAGGGCUAGCGUUGUUCGGAAUCACUGGGCGUAAAGCGCACGUAGGCGGAUCUUUAAGUCAGGGGUGAAAUCCCGAGGCUCAACCUCGGAACUGCCUUUGAUACUGGGGAUCUCGAGUCCGGGAGAGGUGAGUGGAACUGCGAGUGUAGAGGUGAAAUUCGUAGAUAUUCGCAAGAACACCAGUGGCGAAGGCGGCUCACUGGCCCGGUACUGACGCUGAGGUGCGAAAGCGUGGGGAGCAAACAGG
RNAcentral lists this ribosomal RNA (253 nucleotides) under uncultured bacterium. Its description in RNAcentral is "partial 16S ribosomal RNA". It matches the Rfam family "Bacterial small subunit ribosomal RNA", at positions 524 to 776 of the family's 1533-position model. The record is from RNAcentral.